Molecule: ribosomal RNA, 583 nt
Filed under: uncultured bacterium
Lineage: Bacteria
Description: bacterial SSU rRNA
Rfam family: Bacterial small subunit ribosomal RNA
Source: RNAcentral
UCCUACGGGAGGCAGCAGUAGGGAAUCUUCGGCAAUGGACGAAAGUCUGACCGAGCAACGCCGCGUGAGUGAAGAAGGUUUUCGGAUCGUAAAACUCUGUUGUUAGAGAAGAACGUUGUGUAGAGUGGAAAAUUACACAAGUGACGGUAUCUAACCAGAAAGGGACGGCUAACUACGUGCCAGCAGCCGCGGUAAUACGUAGGUCCCGAGCGUUGUCCGGAUUUAUUGGGCGUAAAGCGAGCGCAGGUGGUUUAAUAAGUCUGAUGUAAAAGGCAGUGGCUCAACCAUUGUGUGCAUUGGAAACUGUUAGACUUGAGUGCAGUAGAGGAGAGUGGAAUUCCAUGUGUAGCGGUGAAAUGCGUAGAUAUAUGGAGGAACACCGGUGGCGAAGGCGACUUUCUGGUCUGUAACUGACACUGAGGCGCGAAAGCGUGGGGAGCAAACAGGAUUAGAUACCCUGGUAGUCCACGCCGUAAACGAUGAGUGCUAAGUGUUAGAGGGUUUCCGCCCUUUAGUGCUGAAGUUAACGCAUUAAGCACUCCGCCUGGGGAGUACGGCCGCAAGGCUGAAACUCAAAGGAAUU